Microcebus murinus (gray mouse lemur) is the source of this 2814-nucleotide non-coding RNA. Lineage: Eukaryota; Metazoa; Chordata; Mammalia; Primates; Cheirogaleidae. The record is from RefSeq and is a predicted model, not a curated record.
AUACUUUCCAACAAAAAGCAGACACAACAAAGUCAUUAGAAGAUGCAAGAAGCUGGAUGCCAAGCCCAGCCCCUGUGGGUGAAGUGGGAAUGUGUGAGCAUGACUGGCUUUCGUCUCAACUAAAGACACAGGCACACAGCAAGAAGACAUACGUUUUUUAAAACUAAAAUCAGAAAGUGUGUUUCCUAAUGCACACCAGGGAGGAGGUAGCCUCCACAGAGGUCAGGAUGUUUGGAGAGAACAAUAGAGGGAAGAGACGAGGGUGGGCCACCCAACCUCCCCCUCACCAGGGCCUCACUUCCUCCAGGGUUGUCAUCCCUGACACCCAAGCUUCACAAAGGGACGUCAGGAUUCAGCCUGUGAGGUCAAGAAGCGUAGCUACUUCCACAUCCUAUUCACUGGGAGUCAGAAAAUAUUGUGUAAAUUCUGUCUCAACCUGUCACUCCUCAUACAUGUGGAUUCUUCCUCCACAGUUGACUCAAAGAGCAAAGACACAUGAGCAAAGGCAGAUUAGCAGAAGAAGUAUUUAUGGACAUCGUGUGGGAAAGAUAAAGGUCCACUGAGUAAAAGGUGUUGGGGGAAAACGAGAACGUGUACCUAGCAGGGGACCUGGGGCAGACACUUGAAGCACAAAGCUCCCACCAUGCACAGGAGUUGCAGGUCUCAUCAACACCAGUUGGCCUGGAGUGGUGCUGGCCAACACUGGGCAUCCUGGUGGCAACUUCAAGCAAGAUAUCUUGGCUAUGUGAAGGGGACAUCACCCAGGUUGUUGGCUGGGUGUUGAUAGGCCAAUCAGCAAAACUGAUGGCAUUAGUUUGGCACUGGGUGGCUGGGCUAUAGGAAAGGCCAAGCCUAUAAUGUUGUUCUUGCAUUGCUUCCUUCCACACAUGAGAGAUUGACAAGACUUUUGCUGUCCAUCAGGGACCUGAGAAGUGGCUCCUGGAUUAAAAUGAUGGUUGGAUGUUACAGUUGGUCCUCUAACUGGAUUGUCCAGGCAUGCCCAUGCCCUUGGAGACUUGCGCUGAGGCAAUGCUGCUACUCAGUGGUGUGUUCCCAAGAGUCCCCAUGUAAAAAGGGAUGUUGUUCUUCCUGGAGACAGUAGGAGACCGGAUGGUGACAGCCUUGGAAGGAGGGGUGGAAUCCAUAGCAUCGGUGUCAAAGGCAGGCAGGGCCUCUGCAUGGUACUGCAGAGGCCCUGCCCACUAGAGUGGAGGCAAUGGGAGGAGCUAUGUUGGGAAGGCUCAUAAAUAAGGUGUCCUGGAGAAGGGGGUUCUCUGCUGCUGCCCAUCAGGGGUCCCACAUGUGGGCGGUUUCUAGGCCCAUGUGAUGGUUCAAAUUAGAGGUGAGGCAACAGACCAUAAGUGUAGAUGGGCUGAUGGGGGACUCUGGCCUCAUAAGGGCACCUCUGUUCCACAGUACAGGGAUUUGGGAAAAGGGAGGAGAGCUCACACUACAGGUUGGGAUAUAGCUGAAAAUAAGAGCCAUAGAAGGGGGAGUCAUGUCCAUUUCAAUGACCUGAGGGUCUAAAGUGGUCCAGGUCAAGCGGGCCAAUGUGUUGGCUGUGAUGGUAGACAUGGCUGCUGUAGAAUGGGCAAACCUGCCCGUGAUAAUGGCGGGGGUCCUGGCAGAAGGAACUGGAGGAUGGGUGGAGAAAGAAAGUGUGGGAAGGGUUGGGAAUGAAGUUGGAGGGCUAGGAAGGAAGAAGAAGGAGGGUUCUUGAAGGAAAGGGGAUGUGGGGAAUCUACACACAUGGGUGUUGGUGACACAGUUCUGAUCAAGGGCAGCAUCAAUGAGAAUGGUAGGGUGCUGGGAGGAUUGGGCAGGUCAGAAACAGGAGGCACUGCUGCUGGGACUGAGUGAGCAGGGGCUCCAUUCUCCUUAGGUGGAACCCUCGCAGUUGACCUGGCCCUAAAUGGAGAAAGAAGGUUGGCAGGAACAGCCAGAGGAGAGCUAGGGCUUGUGAAUGUCCUUUCAUCAAUUUUUGGUGUGGAGGAAGGUGGAAGGACAGGCAGGAUCAGAAGUCCAGCAGCCAAGUCAGCCAAGUCAGGAGUGGUAAGAGGAACUGGGACCUGAAAAGUGUAGGAUGUGACCAGGGACUGGGAGUCUGUCAUCUCAGCAGCAGAUGGGGAGAGAGAAGGGACAGGCCGGGUGGCCCUGCAGCUUUCUAGGGCCUCUGUCUUAUCCCUCAGAGCCUCUGUUUUCUCCUGCAAGAUCUUGGUCUUUGUUUGACAUUCAACACACUCGUCCAAGGUGCCUCAAUCUUCCUCUGCAGCUAUCCAUGGAAGCUUGGGAAGUGUGGGCAGCUCACCUCUGUCCCACAACAGUGGCAGUGGCACUGGCAGCAGCAGCAGUGGCAACAGCAGUGGCAUGGACAUUACCCUUUGCAGGGCCCAUUCCUCACAGCUCUGGGUGGAGAAGAGCUCCUGGAUGUGAUAUAUACAGGCUAUUCGCCCUGCAUCUCCUUCCUAGACACCAGCAACUGGAGCAUGCCUGGAGAGCUGGACCAGUGGUUUAAAUGCAGAAGUUCCCCGGCCAACUUCUCCAGUAGCCAGCAGCAGCCUUGGGCUGGGUCAGGGAGCAUUGCUGCAUCUGGGUCAAGCAUCCCUCGAUGUAGGAUUCCUCCAGCAGGGCUGUAUGAGCUGGUGAUUGCAUGGCCUUCAUGGAAGGAGGUCAUCGGAGACACCUGUGGUCACAGGUACCAUAACUGCUGUAACUUAUAUGAUGGAAUCCUCACAGAACUAUCACGACACCACCCUCCAUGUGAACAUGUGUAGCAUGAGGUUGUUUCCAAGAAUAAAUAAGUGUUUUUACAGA